This 440-nucleotide ribosomal RNA is filed under the name uncultured bacterium. RNAcentral describes it as "partial 16S ribosomal RNA". It matches the Rfam family "Bacterial small subunit ribosomal RNA", at positions 338 to 795 of the family's 1533-position model. The record is from RNAcentral.
CCUACGGGAGGCUGCAGUGGGGGAUAUUGCACAAUGGGGGGAACCCUGAUGCAGCGACGCCGCGUGGGUGAAGAAGCGCCUCGGCGCGUAAAGCCCUGUCAGCAGGGGAGAAAAUGACGGUACCUGAAGCAGAAGCCCCGGCUAACUACGUGCCAGCAGCCGCGGUAAUACGUAGGGGGCAAGCGUUAUCCGGAUUUACUGGGUGUAAAGGGGGCGCAGACGGCGAUGCAAGCCAGGAGUGAAAGCCCGGGGCCCAACCCCGGGACUGCUCUUGGAACUGCGUGGCUGGAGUGCAGGAGGGGUAGGCGGAAUGCCUGGUGUAGCGGUGAAAUGCGUAGAGAUCAGAAGGAACACCGGUGGCGAAGGCGGCCUGCUGGACUGCAACUGACGUUGAGGCCCGAAAGCGUGGGGAGCAAACAGGAUUAGAUACCCCUGUAGUC